This 497-nucleotide ribosomal RNA is filed under the name uncultured bacterium. RNAcentral describes it as "partial 16S ribosomal RNA". It matches the Rfam family "Bacterial small subunit ribosomal RNA", at positions 28 to 507 of the family's 1533-position model. The record is from RNAcentral.
GAUGAACGCUGGCGGCGUGCCUAAUACAUGCAAGUCGAGCGGACAGAUGAGGAUCUUGCUCCGCUGACGUUAGCGGCGGGCGGGUGAGUAACACGUGUAUACCCCACCUAUCAGACUGAGAUCACUUCGAGAAAGCGGAUAUAACACCGGAUAAGAUAUUGAACCUCAGGGUUCAUUGGUGAAAGACGGUUUUGCUGUCACUACUAGGUGGUUCCUCGCCGCAUUAGCUAGUUGGUAAGGUAACGACUUACCAAGGCGACGAUGCGUAGCCGAACUGAGAGGGUGAUCGGUCACACUGGAACUGAGACACGGUCCAGACUCCUACGGGAGGCAGCAGUAGGGAAUCGUCGGCAAUGGGCGAAAGCCUGACGGAGCAAGGCCGAGUGUGUGAAGAAGGUCUUCGGAUCGUAAAACUCUCUUAGUGGGGAAGAACAACUGUAUAAGUAAACAUAGCUGUAUUGACGGUACCUAAUAAAAAAGCACCGGCUAACUACGUG